AGAAAAGAGACAAAGGCCUGGUUGCUGGAGGAUCGUGGAGUGAUUCAGAUAAUGACUCAAAUGCAGACUCCGGAGAUGAGGAAGAACCACACAUGGCCAAUCUGUGCUUAAUGGCCAAACAUGCAAAGGACAAACAAAGCCUAAACAUACAUGAUGUAAGUCUCGAUGAGGUAUUUGAUUUUAAUUCUCCUGAUGUAGAUAUAAGUGAC
This 209-nucleotide long non-coding RNA is filed under the name Panax ginseng (ginseng). RNAcentral describes it as "long non-coding RNA (PGIN_LNC004134)". Lineage: Eukaryota; Viridiplantae; Streptophyta; Magnoliopsida; Apiales; Araliaceae. The record is from RNAcentral.